GGCAAAAGAAUAAAAAAAGAGACCACAAAUGAUUAUGAUCCUUGGCUUUUUCAUCAAGUUAAAAAUCUCCCAAAUGAAGACAUUUAUUUGCAGAAAACGUGUUCACGCCACCAAACCCAAGGUCACAAGGAAGAAAAUUAUAAGUCAGUCAACGCACUAUUUAUCAUAAGAUCAGAUCCUUAUCACCAAAAGAUGCGCAUUGAAUCAAGGGGGAGAAUUAAAUACUCAAAAUAUUAACAGGAGAGGAAGAAGAAGAGAAAUAAGGAACAAAUAUACUCAGGCAUUGAAGAAGAAAUCAAAUCCUAUGGCUACUGAAACAGGAGAACGAAAUUUUGUGAACUGUCUUCAUCACCAGAAUCAUCAACCAAAGAUGAUUAAUCAUGUUAGCAUUUGCUAUAAAAGUCCACAGAUUUUAAUGGUAAAGAUUUCAUUGGAACAUUAAACGUCAGGAGAAAGAGAAAUGGAGUACUUGCGGAUAUAAUGCACUUACCUCACAUCAUUCAAUAAUUUGUAUUAUAUUCUUCUAUCAAAUCCUUCAGUCUUCCCUGUAUCAAUUGACCACACUCCUUUCCAUAUAUGUUGCUUCAACAAUUGCUGCUCCUGACCAUCUGCGUGCUGUCUUCUUCUGAGUCAUAUACUGGCUCAACCUAGCUCCAAUAUUUCUUCCAUGGUACACUCCCCUCCAGCCUUGCACUUAUCAUACACUGUCAGGCCGGCUGAGAUUAUGGCUAUCAAUGCUUCCAUUUCAACACGAACAUGAGUUAGGGUGAUACUGUGACAAAUUGGGAUGAAGCUGCUUGUGUGCUUGGCUCCAUUUAUGCCAGCUAUUUCGGCCACGGUAAGGACAUCCUUGAGUGGAGCCCAAUCAAAGGCGUGAAAAGGUCAAGCCAAAACCAUUAGCACCAAAGUCACCCCAAGGGGUGCACCGGGGCACUUCCUCUUUCCAGCACUGAAGGGCAAUAUCUUGAAAUCAGCUCCAUAGCUUAUCUCUACCGGCGUCCAUCUUCCACCCAAUGCCUCUCGGGCCCAAAAACUCUCCACAUCCAUGACUUGGUGUUUCGGCCCAAACUAUGAGUAUUAAUAAAAGUGCGAGUCUUGGCGGGAUACGGUAGCCCGUAGCUAUAUAUUGUGGUGGCACGUAGGGGCUCGUCCA
Molecule: unclassified non-coding RNA, 1153 nt
Filed under: Hevea brasiliensis (rubber tree)
Lineage: Eukaryota; Viridiplantae; Streptophyta; Magnoliopsida; Malpighiales; Euphorbiaceae
Source: RNAcentral